AGGCCUUCGGGUCGUAGAGCUCUUUCSCCUGGGAACAAGUGAUGCCGGCUAAUAUCCGGCAAAAUUGASCGUACCMGGUAAAGAAGCACCGGCUAACUCCGUGCCRGCAGCUGCGGUAAUACGGAGGGUGCAAGCAUUAAUCGGAUUUAUUGGGCGUAAAGAGCGCGUARGCGGAAAUGCAAGUCAGAUGUGAAAUUCCGAAGCUCAACUUCGGAGCUGCAUUUGAAACUGCAUUUCUUGAGGAUAGACGGAGAAAGCGGAAUUCUGCAUGUAGCGGUGAAAUGCGUAGAUAUGCAGAAGAACACCCGUGGCGAAGGCGGCUUUCUAGUUUAUUCCUGACGCUGAGGCGCGAAAGCUAGGGGAGCAAACAGGAUUAGAUACCCUGGUAGUCCUAGCCGUAAACGAUGCAUACUUGGUGUCACCGGUCUCAACCCCGGUGGCGUCSGAGCUAACGUGUUAAGUAUGCCGCCUGGGGAGUACGUUCGCAAGAAUGAAACUCAAAAGAAUUGACGGGGACCCGCACAAGCAGYGGAGCAUGUGGYUUAAUUCGAUGCARCGCGAAGAACCUUACCCAGACUUGACAUGUAGCGGACCGCACUGGAGACAGWGCUUCCCUUCGGGGCUGCUGCACASGUGCUGCAUGGMUGUCGUCAGCUCGUGCCGUGAGGUGUUGGGUUAAGUCCCRCAWCGAGCGCAACCCCUUGUCSCUAGUUGCCAGCA
RNAcentral lists this ribosomal RNA (720 nucleotides) under uncultured bacterium. Its description in RNAcentral is "partial 16S ribosomal RNA". It matches the Rfam family "Bacterial small subunit ribosomal RNA", at positions 412 to 1123 of the family's 1533-position model. The record is from RNAcentral.